GCAGGGGCUGUGUCUCCCCAGAGCUUGUCUGAGUGGCGCAUGCAGAACAUUGCCCGAGACUCCGAGAACAGCUCCGAGGAAGAGUUCUUUGAUGCCCACGAAGGCUUCUCGGACAGUGAGGAGGUCUUCCCCAAGGAGAUGACCAAGUGGAACUCCAAUGACUUCAUCGACGCCUUUGCCUCCCCAAUGGAGGCGGAGGGAACGCCAGGUAAAGAUCCCGCCUAGGACACCGGCCCCCAGCACCCGUGUACAGCAGGUCAUAAGUUUAAUGGCAUCUUAAGAUGAGAGGCAA
RNAcentral lists this small RNA (292 nucleotides) under Pongo abelii (Sumatran orangutan). RNAcentral describes it as "retained intron". Lineage: Eukaryota; Metazoa; Chordata; Mammalia; Primates; Hominidae. The record is from RNAcentral.